CACCACGCCCGGAUGAACCAACACGUGGCGCAAGUCGUUUUUGAACGCUAUAUGAGGGCAAACAAGAAUCGUUAGAUCCAUGCCCACUAUAUGUUCCGUAUACAAGAUACCAAGCAAUGCUCAAUGAGCCACAAUGUCAAAGCAUGUGCUUCAACAAGGUGGAUCAAAGAGACCGCAUCAGGGUUCACCUCACGUUGCAAAAGCAACGCUAGACGAAAUGAAAUUUUGAUCUAUCCAACCGAUACCAUUGAGUAGGUAUUCAACACAGUAAACCCACAAAACGCACAAGGCGAUACAAGGCGAUACAAGCCUUGCCGAAUAACUGAAGAGGUAUGAAAGCAUGGAAGUUGUUGCAAGCGCCGCAGCCAACCACACGUAACAAACCAAACACCACUCAUGCACCUUUACGAUAAACAUCCCCGAAGCCACCCCAACUAGAAGCCACCCAUUCGGCUCAGA
Molecule: unclassified non-coding RNA, 459 nt
Filed under: Leucanthemum sylvaticum
Lineage: Eukaryota; Viridiplantae; Streptophyta; Magnoliopsida; Asterales; Asteraceae
Description: contains 5' external transcribed spacer, ETS
Source: RNAcentral